CACCACUCGAGUCUGACUCGGUAUUGGGCGCCGCGCAUCUGCCGCGCGCCUCAAAGUCCCCGGCUGGGCAGCCCGUCUCCGAGCGUUGUGGCAUCAAGUCUCGCUAGGGAGCCGCGGGCGGCGUCGGCCGUAAAACACCCAUCAAA
This 146-nucleotide unclassified non-coding RNA is filed under the name uncultured Zasmidium. Its description in RNAcentral is "sequence contains ITS2". Lineage: Eukaryota; Fungi; Ascomycota; Dothideomycetes; Mycosphaerellales; Mycosphaerellaceae. The record is from RNAcentral.